Hyaena hyaena (striped hyena) is the source of this 481-nucleotide long non-coding RNA. RefSeq lists it as uncharacterized. The record is from RefSeq and is a predicted model, not a curated record. The transcript is spliced from 3 exons. NCBI's taxonomy places the organism in Eukaryota, Metazoa, Chordata, Mammalia, Carnivora, Hyaenidae.
CCUAUUUUACAGAAAGGGAAACCAAGGACUGGGGAGGCAAAAUUACCUGCUUAGGAUCACAGAGCCGACAAGGGGAAAAGAGGAUGGUUCCUUUUUUAGGAGCCUCCCAGGCUUGAAAAAGCAGAGCAAAAUCCUACUCACUAAAGGCAAAGACCACAGCUGAUCCUGUCGCAACCCCAGGAGCUUCCUGAACCCCUAAACACCUUAUAAGAAAUGGAGAAGAAGAGAGAAAGACUACACCUGGGGUCAGUAAGCUACAGCCUGCAGGUCAAACCCAGCCAUCUGUUUGUGCAGAUAAAAAGUUUUACUGGAACACGGCCAUAUCCGCUGAUUUAUGUAGUGUCUACAGCCGCUUUGGUGCCAGAACUGCAGAGCUGAGUAGUUGCAACAGACACUAUGGCCCACAAUGUCUAUGUCAGUUACUAUCCGGCCCUUUACAGGAAAGCUUUGCCAGCCCCUGGAUCCCAUGUUAGACUGCCUU